ACCCCAUGAUAUAAGCCGGCAGUUGCAUGUAUAUCCCAACAGCAUCUGUGACUAUGAUUGGGAACAGUAAAGCUACUGAACUGUGUGUGUUGGGCUUCACGAAUUCAGCGUGCCUGACAAAGGAAUUUAUCAGACCACA
Scaptodrosophila lebanonensis is the source of this 139-nucleotide small nucleolar RNA. RefSeq annotates it as small nucleolar RNA snoR639/H1. NCBI's taxonomy places the organism in Eukaryota, Metazoa, Arthropoda, Insecta, Diptera, Drosophilidae. The record is from RefSeq and is a predicted model, not a curated record. The transcript has a single exon.